AACAAUAAUAUUUGGGAAAUUUGCAUAUUUAUAACAAAAUGUGAACGUAUUUACAUCUCGUAUAACAAAACAAAACUCGUUGAGGCCCACAAUUCAAUUUUUAAUUACAAAAAUACCCUCCAUCGGAUCUCAAUCAUUUCGCGGGACAACAUCUUCUUUUUCACCAUGAUUUCUCCUUCUUCUUCAACUCAAUCACAAAGAUACGCGAUUAGACGUCUUCUUUUUCCUCAUGAUGGCAGAUUGCACUGGGCUGGCGAAAGCAUAGGUUUUGUCCUCACGACGGUAGAUCGCAUCAGCCCAGCAACAGUGGCAGGGUAAGGAUAGGUCAGGAAUGGGGACAUGGAAUGUAUUCCUCGCCCUCAUCACUAUUUGCUCAACCGGCAGAAAUUUCUUCCUGCUCCCCACUCAUCCCUCAUUCAUUGUUCAUUUGGGAAUUCCUUAACUUUUUUAAGUCGGGUCCCCAUGAGACCCGAACCCACUGACUAAAUGGAUCUCUUCUUUUACUAUUUUGGAGUGGUUUUAUAACCUUUUGCCGAGAUUUUUUUGACUAUUUUUCAAAAACCUUUCUUAAUGUGGCCAUAGUGGUUUGGACUCUACAACAUGCAUGCGUAAAACAAAGACAAAUUUUUUCUUUGUUACUUAAAUAAAAAGAAUGAAACUCAUUUAUUAAAUAAACUUUAAAAUAAUAAAAUCAAUUAAAUCCAUGUUUGGGGUCACCUGUCCAAAGUUAUAACAAAUAAGUUAAAGAAAAAGUAAAAUAAUCAAAUAUCCUAAACAUUGGAUGUCUGUCUAGUUCUUGCAUUCUUACAAGCAUUAUAUUACAAAAUUAAAUGACGUUGAGCACGUUUAAAAAAAAUAUUACGUCUCUCAUGCACACUUGAGUCUUUCGUCUGACUAUCUUUUACGAAAGGUAAGGCCUUACUAGUGCCAAUUUAGUAAUGCAUGUGUAACGCCCCAACAAUUUGGAAUUUAAUUUUUUCAUCUUAAGCAUAGUUAUUGAAACCUUGGACGUUGUUAUUAAUGAAAUCUUGGUGGUGUAAUUAUUUAAGUGCGAGAAUAAAAUAAUUUCUCUAAUUGGAUAAUUAAAUUUGGUAAGGUUGUUUGUUGAAGAUAAGAUAAUUUAGUUAAGUUAAUGUGAUAUUUUAUUUGGAAAAGAAUAUAUAUAUUUAUGAAAGGGAGUGUUGUGAUUGGAUGAUUUUGAAAAUUUAAGAUAUUGGGAGUUUUAAUUGAAGAGAGAAGAUUUGUUGGUUUUGAAUUAAAUGAAGGGAAAAGAAAAAGGGAAUUUAUUAUUGGGUUCGUUUUAUAAAUGAGCCUUGGGACCCGUGCACAAGAAUAAUUAAAAAAAAAAAAGAAAAAAAGGGAAAAAGGAAUAGGAAGAAACCCUAGCUACCGCGAUUCGUCGCUCUCCGCCGCCUCCGUCGUGCAGCCGAUUCGCCCAAGCUCUUCCAUCAGGUGCUCGUUCAGCCGCGUCUCCAGCCGUUCGCGUGGAGCCCCGCCGUCCAUCCUUCUUUCACUCCGUUCGGACCCCUUCGCCUGGGAGCCGUCGCAACCAUCCAUUCUCCGUCACGGUCUGCCGCUCCUCGUUGCAGGUCAAUCGGUUGGUAGCGCCGGUCGUCGUCGAGGCCAGCCCCAUCGGGACGUCGUCCCGAUCUAAACCCAAAAACUCGAGCCACAUUACCCAUCUGUUCCACGCCUAUCCAUCCGAUCGUCUUGAGCGAGUCGAACGCCACCCGCGACCGUAGCCGACCCGAACAGCCGCGUCGCGCCUCGCCUUGACCCGGAUUCCAACCUGUGCCCCUCUUUGUGAGCCGAACGCCAGCCGUCUGCGUCUGCAACCCGCACGCACGCCGCGCCCGCACCACUAAUCGAGCCACACGCCACGCGAGCCACACGCCCGCAUGAGCCGUGCCUUCUACCGCAAGCCGAGCUGAGCGCCUUCAAGCCGAGCCGAUCCCUACUCUUCCAGUCGAGCCGCUAAAUCCUUUUGAACCACCUAGCCUUUUUUCGGUCCUUUGCACCUAUUUUUAGUAAGUCAAAUGGGUUUUUAGCACACCCAGCCAAGACUUGAAUUUUUAACCUAAAUAAUUUAAUUUGGAUUAAAUUGAAUUAUUUCUCUUAAAGAACAUCUUGGACCAAUGGACUUUGGAGCGUUGGAUUUCUCCAGUUCAGGACCAUCUCCUUGUAACCCGACCACGAGUAAGUUAUUCCAACUAAAUUUUUGAGUUAUUGGGUCGCUUGGUGAAUUAGUUAUGAAAAUUGGCGUUAUUAAACAUUUAGGACCUCGCUGCUUGGAAAGCGCAUUUUCUUGCUGUUAGAACUCGUUGAGCAAAUCUCCAGGUAAGAGAUUUCUACUACUAGCCCUACGACUAGAAUCAUGAGACUGCAUGCAUUCCUAGUUAUGCACAUUGAGGACUAAACUGUAUAACGAUAUGUCGAUUAAUAAGGGCAUGAUGUGACAUGAUGUGAUUUGAUAUGAUGACAUGGUAUUAAAGUGAUGACGUGACUUGUUACGACAUUAUGUUUUGGCUUUAUGAUGAGAUGUGAUUUGAUGAUUAGACUGAUAUGAUUACGUGAUGAUGCUAUGUUAUAUGUAUGCUAUGGUUAAGGUACCUGUUCGCUUAGCCUAUUAGAGUCGUACCUGCAUGGGUGUCCUUCGGGAUCAUCACCUAUUUAGGACUGCGUAGUCCGACGGGACCGCCAAUCUGGCAUGGAUAUAGAUAUGAUUCGAGUGAUUCGACGGGAUCCUCGCAGCCCGAUUAUCUUAGUGUUUCCUCCGGGUUCGCUAUAGACCAGUAUGUCCUAGGUGCUCCCCCGGCACACCGAAGACCAGAUUCUGUUCUUACAAGAGCGCAUGUUGCACGUGUUCGGGAACGUGCCAGUUAUUAGGUAGAGGUAGAGGUAAGGGCAAGGGCAAGUUGGCGGGCGACCAGAAGUGACCAUGGCGAGCCAUAGGGAUUUCUGCUUCCGCUUUACACCCCGUUUAAACUUUUAGUAUUUGAGUUUUUAUUAUUCUUUAUUUACUAUUUUGUUUCUUUAAAAGUAGAUAGGGCCUGUGUAGGAUUUUAACAGUUGUUUACAUUUCGCACAUUACCCUGAUUUGGUUUUUAAAUAAAUAAAAUUUUGAAGUUUUGUUCCU
This is a long non-coding RNA of Cucumis melo (muskmelon), 3136 nucleotides long. RefSeq lists it as uncharacterized. Lineage: Eukaryota; Viridiplantae; Streptophyta; Magnoliopsida; Cucurbitales; Cucurbitaceae. The record is from RefSeq and is a predicted model, not a curated record. The transcript is spliced from 3 exons.